UACUUGACCUCCAUUCCAGUUCUGUGCUCCCUGCGUUGGCACUGAUGCAAAAUGGUGCUGCUACUUCAGGAUUGAAUUGCAGGUCUGCAAGUGCUCUGGAUCCGAACAACCCGCAUCCUAUGCUUUACCCUAAUCUGGAUUUAGGAACAGCAAAUGCUCAACAGCUCUUAUUUGCAACAGACACGCAAAGUAUAAGCCAAAGCAGCCCUGCUGUCCAUACGUACGACAACCUUUUACAUCCAGUGCCUCUGCAUCUGGUGAACCUCCAAAAUGGCAAUGCCUUAUCACUAAAUGGAGCCUUGCCAGGUGCAACACCAGCAGAUGAAUCAAAGAGCAAGUCACAGCCACAGUACUAUGAGAUAAUGGAGUUUGAUCCUUUAGCACCAAGUGAUGCCACAGAAGCUAUUUACGAAGAAAUUGAUGCUUAUUUGUCCAAACCAGGAGUUAAAGAAGUUUCCAAAUGCUGAGACAGGAAAUGAAGUUUUGUCUCAAAAGUUUCUCUCUGAUGCCAGCUUCGGAGAUCUGUUUUCUAUCAGUGACAAGUGAAUGCAAGAUUGUAUUUUGAACAUAGCAACAAGUAUUGGGAUUUUAAGUAACAGAUAUGCUUUACUUGGAUAUAUCAUCAACUCUGAUCUCUAACACUACACACAAGGCCUUAAACGUUGAAGUGCUAAUUUUUCAAUGGGACAAUUCUGUGGGCAUGUGUUGGCAGGAUCAGGGUUUACACCUUUAUUUAAAACAUGCUUUCAAAACUUCCCUAUUUAAAAAUAACACACUCUGCCUCUGACUUCAGUAGAACACAAGCAGCCUUGUAACUGUAGACAGGAGUUUUAUGUCGCGUUAGCCGCUAUGUCAUACUGCUUAGUUUUUAUGCAGUAAACUAAAAUGGAACUUUGAUCCAUUUACAGAUAUAUAAUUUAUCUUUAUUUAACCUAACUUCUGACUUGUCAUUGUGCAAGUACUUUGAGCGAUACCAACCAGAAAAAGAAAACCCUGGAGAUUCUUCUGUAUUCAGAAUUCUCCUACUUCAGGCCUCUUGACUGUUAUGUGAAUACAUUCACUAUGCAAUGUUCAUUGCCUUUAUAUUUUAAAUCUAAAAUCAUAAGUGAUGAUGAUUUGGUUUUUUAAACCAAAUCAGGUGAAGUGCCUGUUCUCAAAACAAAGGGAAACAAUAAACUUUCUUUCAACACACA
Molecule: long non-coding RNA, 1193 nt
Filed under: Crocodylus porosus (Australian saltwater crocodile)
Lineage: Eukaryota; Metazoa; Chordata; Crocodylia; Crocodylidae
Description: lncRNA (ENSCPRG00005002204.1)
Source: RNAcentral